Molecule: long non-coding RNA, 591 nt
Filed under: Solanum pimpinellifolium
Lineage: Eukaryota; Viridiplantae; Streptophyta; Magnoliopsida; Solanales; Solanaceae
Description: long non-coding RNA (SPIM_LNC000155)
Source: RNAcentral
UCUCAAUAUACUGUUUCUUCUACACACAUCUCCAUAAUCGAAAAUGGUAAUAGUUAGGAUUCAUUAAAAAAAUCGAGAACCCACUCAUGGGACAAGAAACCCUUCCCGCAUCAGGCACUAAUAAAUUUUUAACGUUUAAUUAGAUCGGGAAUCAUUCAAAUUAAGAACAAAAGCUCGUUGCUUUUUCUUUCCCUAUAAUUUAAUUGAAGCCGCAGCCCUAUCCAUUUAUUCAUUCGACCCAACUUUAUUUUGUUCCGUUCCAAGAAUUCGAACAUGGUUUUAUACCCAUCUAGGAACAAUGAAAUAUUUUCAGAACUUUCCGUUGAUACGACAUGCUAUUUUUACCAUUCAUUCCCUUUCAGGAUCAGUCGCAGUCUUCCAAACUUUACCGAGAGUAUGGACGAAUCCCUCACUUCAUCCAUAUGUGUAAAAGACACUAGCCGCACUUAAAAGCCGAGUACUCUACCGUUGAGUUAGCAACCCGAAGAAAAUAUCGAAAAAAAAAAAUGUGUAGAUCCAAUCCGAAGAAAAAGAAAUAAAGAGAUUAGACAAGACAACCAAAAACCAUUGAAAGAAGAAAUCUAAAAAAAU